AAUGAACGCUGGCGGCGCGCCUAAUACAUGCAAGUCGAGCGAGAAGACGUAGCAAUACGUUUGUAAGGCGGCGAACGGGUGAGGAAUACAUGGGUAACCUACCCUCGAGUGGGGAAUAACUAGCCGAAAGGUUAGCUAAUACCGCGUACGCUCCUUGGACUUCGGUUCAGGGAGGAAAGCGAUACCGUGGGUAUCGCGCUCUUGGUUGGGCUCAUGUCCUAUCAGCUUGUUGGUGAGGUAACGGCUCACCAAGGCUUCGACGGGUAGCUGGUCUGAGAGGACGAUCAGCCACACUGGCACUGCGACACGGGCCAGACUCCUACGGGAGGCAGCAGUAAGGAAUAUUGCGCAAUGGGCGAAAGCCUGACGCAGCGACGCCGCGG
RNAcentral lists this ribosomal RNA (383 nucleotides) under uncultured bacterium. RNAcentral's name for it is "bacterial SSU rRNA". It matches the Rfam family "Bacterial small subunit ribosomal RNA", at positions 29 to 402 of the family's 1533-position model. The record is from RNAcentral.